RNAcentral lists this long non-coding RNA (6769 nucleotides) under Carica papaya (papaya). RNAcentral's name for it is "long non-coding RNA (CPAP_LNC004731)". Lineage: Eukaryota; Viridiplantae; Streptophyta; Magnoliopsida; Brassicales; Caricaceae. The record is from RNAcentral.
UAUUCAAUCAGGCACGAACGACCCAGAUUGCAUCGCGAUGGACGGCCCAGAUUUAAUCCCAAUUAAAUCGCGAUCGAACGGUCCAGAUUUAAUCUUGAUGGACGGUUGAGAUUAAAAGGCAAAGGGUAUAAAUAACCCCACUCACACCUGACCACAAAACCCUAGCCGCCAGUGCCUCGCCGGAGAAGAAGAACCAGACGCCGGAGGAGCCGGCCGCCGCCACCCGCCGCCACACCGGGGAAGUUUUCGACCGCCGAUCGAGGUAAGUUUUCUCCACCUGGCUCGUUUUUCGAUGCUAAGUCCGCCUAUGGUCAAACCGGAGCCAAACCACCGGCCAAACGGCCGAAAAACCCAGCCGAAGUCCAGCCGCGCCGCCACGACCCCCCUCUAUUUUUGCCUCCGAUGGGGCUCUUCCCGGCCUCCAUUCGAUGCAAAUUUUAUACCAUUAUGAUCACCGUUCUUUUCUCUAUAGGUUGAUCGAAGCUAAACAUCAAAACGUGACUCAUGCCCGAAGAGCCGCCGCACCCGAGAGCACAGCCACCGGUAAGUCUCGGUUUUUUGUGAUUUUUUGGCCCCCCGAGGGCCCUAGGGUUGUUUUAUCGCAGGGACCGAUGCAAGUGUGGCCGAAUUCGGCCAAAAACGGCCAACCCGAGGUGGAUUACCGGAGCACAACGGAGCCGCCGUGCCGAAAUUUCGAUAUUGGCCGAAAGGGGCCCUAGGUCUGAUUUGGGAUUUUUUGGGAUACGUGCAGGUACCGGUAGUGCGUUUCAGUUUUCUGAAAAAAAUUCAAAGAAAUUAGUGACAGCCUGUAGGCACAUUGUAGAGUCGAAUUCAGACCCCGGAACAAAUAAGGACCCCUCACCCUAUUUCCUAUCACGAUAUUAAAGCUAAAUAAAUAAUUAAACUGUACUGUGUGACUUUAUAGAUGUAUAAUUGAUUAAGAUUGCCAGUAGAGCCCGAGUCUGAUACAGUGUUGGUCUGUUAUUGUUUGAUCUAAUUUCCAGUAUUAAAUGCAGCAUGAUGUUUGAUGAAAUUAUGUUAUGGUCUCAUAUGCAUGAACUAUGGUUUCUUUUAUUAUGGUUUAUGUUAUGGUGAACCUGAUACUGUAUUGUCUUAUUUGGUGUCAAUUACUGGUUUACAUGUUGUGUAUGAUUGGAUGAUUGAGAUUAAGAAAAAAUGCAAAAAGGUUAUGUGAAUUGAUAAUGAAAAAAUGUGGACAGCCUAACUAGAUAUUCUGGGAGAUGGUGGACGAACUGGGUCCGUAGGGAACCCUACCGGGAACGUGGUCUCUCAUACUGGACGGGGUAUGGAGACCUUAUGUGUUUUGGCGUCCAUACCGGACGGGGUAUGGGGACGGCCCGUUUCACCCUCAUACCGGACGGGGUAUUGAGGUUCAUGGUUUUGGCGCCCAUACCAGACGGGGUAUGGGGACGGCCCUGGAAUCAUGUUGUAAGUGUUAAUGGUUCACGUGUAGCGGGGACCCCCUAUGGAUCCCCAAGGAUACUAAUAGACUAGUAAAAGAGGAAAUCUGUUUUCUGAUGAUUGAAAUAUAAAGGUAUGAUAUGUGUUAUGUUAUAAAGUGUGUAUGAUUUCAUGAUAUUAUAAGGUUGGUGUUUUCAUAUGUUGUUUUCAUGGAUCUCACCGAGGUAAGUGGAUAGUAAAGAUUUUUAUGUUAAUAAAUGAGUUCAUUAUAAAUUAUGCUCAAUUGGUCAUUUUUGUUUUCUACCCACCUUUACUUCCGUGGCGGUGAGAUAGUGUGAUGUCUUUACUAGGAUGGUGUAGCUCAUUCCUUAUUUAACCAUUUCAGAUCAGGAAGACAUUAUUCCCGACUCCGUUCCGUAGGAAGACGGUGAAGGGGACUCUUAAAGACUUCAUAAUUAUAUUUAUAGUUCUUAUUUCGAGUAUCUCUUUUAGUUAGUUUGUUCCUUCAUAUUUUGAGUACGUUUUGGUUAUUGUGUAAGGGAUGUUAAUCAAAAUUUUUAUUACGCUUCUGCAUUUAAGAUUUUUAAUACAUACAUCUUCAUUUAAAUUUUCGAGGCCGUUACAGUUGGUAUCAGAGCCGCGUUCCUCGGACCCAUCCCUUACACAAUAAUGCUUAGAGAAAUAUUCACCGAUAAACCGUUACUCAACCAUUCCUUAUGAAAUGCAGGUGCAAAGAGAUGAGGAGAGGAAGACCCCCACUAAACUGAGCAGCCCGGGAUAAUUCACUUCGAGAGGAUGUAGACAGGUUAUUUGAGAUGAUAGAAGGAUUCAUAGCUGCCCAGCAAGGGCGAGAAGAGAUCAGGCAACACUUGUUAGUACUGGAGCUCAAGACAUAUUCAGCAGUCCUAGCAAAGGCACAGAUCGUGGAAAGAAGAUUCAGCACCCGUCCUCAGCCAGGAGGGAGUUCCCGACCCUUAGCUCCGUUCCGCAGGCCAGCACCUACUGGUCCUACCCAACCAAAUAAGAGGCCCAGACCAGCCAUCCAGGCCCCUCCUCAGGCUCCAGGGGCAGCACGUGGGAAGAUUUGUCAGCACUGUGGCAGAGAUCACAGGGACCGACCCUGCUACCGCCUCAACAACACUUGUCGCAUUUGUGGCAGUGCCCAGCAUUAUGCAAGAGAAUGCCCGAGGAACCAGAAUCAAGGAAGGCCUCCUAUCUAGGGCAGAGCUUACAACCUUACCCAGAAGGAUGCAGACGCCGACCCAUAUGUGGUACAGGGUAUGUAUACUAUCUGUGACCAUAUUGCUCAUGUUUUAUUUGACACUAGUGCAUCGCACUCUUUUGUUUCACAUAUUUUUGCUUCUAAAAUUAAUGUAUCACCUGAUAAACUUGAUUCAUUGUUGUUUGUGUUUACUGCCGGGGGUGAAACACUACUAGGAAAAGUUAUCUAUAGGGCUUGUGCCGUGGAGAUAGCAAAUAGAAAACUGAGUGUAGACCUGAUAAGGUUAGACACGGGGGAUUUUGAUGUAAUCUUAGGAAUAUAUUGGCUAACGGCAUAUCACGCCACCAUAGAUUGCUUUAACAAAAAUGUUGUAUUUAAUCCUCCUAACGAGGAGUCAUUUACAAAUUAAUAAAAUUAUUCAGUACUUAUUCCUUAAUGGCAAGUUUUCUUAACUUCUAGUGCCUUAAUCUUGCUGUUUUCUCUGAUUAGGCAAGCCCAAGAAGGAAAUUUGUAUUCAAGAGAUUCCGGUAGUCCGAGACUUCCCAGAUGUGUUUCCGAACGAACUGCUCAGUCUGCUAAUAGACAGAGAAGUCGAGUUCACUAUAGACCUACAGCCAGGUACCCAGCCCAUUUCGGUUGCUCCUUACCGCAUGAGCCGCAUUGAGAUGGAAGAGCUGAGGAAACAGAUCACUGAAUUACAAGACAGUGGUUUUAUUAGACACAGUGUGUCCCCUUGGGGUGCCGGAGUCACUUUUGCAAGGAAGGGAGAUGGAACGUUGAGACUGUGCAUUGAUUACAGAGGAUUGAACAAGGUUAUGAUCAAAAAUAAGUAUCCCUUUCCCCAGAUUGAUGACCUCUUUGAUCAGCUGCAGGGUGCACAGGUCUUCUCUAAAAUAGACCUACGAUCAGGUUACCAUAAGGUGAAGAUAAGAACAGAAGACAUUUCCAAAACGGCCUUCCGAACCAGGUACGAACACUAUGAGUUCCUGGUCAUGCCAUUUGGGCUAACCAGUGCCCCUGCAAUCUUUAUGGAUCUGAUGAACAGGGUCUUCAGAGAGUUCUUGGAUCAAUUUGUCAUCGUGUUCAUCGAUGAUAUCUUAGUCUACUCAAAAAGUAGAGAAUAACAUGUUCACCAUCUUGCCCAAGUUUUGCAGGUCCUUAGAAACAAGAGGUUAUAUGCGAAGUUGAGUAAGUGUAGAUUCUGGCUUGAGCAGACUGCCUUCCUAGGACACAUCAUAUCGAAGGAAGGGGCAUCAGUGAAUCCCAAAAAGGUUGAAGCGGUACUUGGCUGGGAGAAGCUGACAUCAGUUAAGGAAAUCCGUAGCUUCCUGGGAAUGGUAGGUUAUUACCGCAGGUUCAUUGAAGGAAUCUCAAGUCUAGCAGCUCCUCUAACCCGACUCACAAAGAAAAAUGCCAAGUUUGAGUGGAAUGAGGACUGCGAGAGAAGUUUUUCAGAAUUAAAGAAGUGGCUGACCACUGCACCCGUGCUGGCUUUACCGAGUGGAUCAGGAGGAUAUACAGUUUAUAGUGAUGACUCCUAUCUGGGCCUGGGUUGUGUUCUGAUGCAGCAUGGAAAGGUUAUAGCAUAUGGGUCCAGACAGUUAAAGAAUCAUGAGAAGAACUAUCCCACCCAUGACUUGGAGCUUGCCGCAAUCAUUCACGCCUUGAAAACCUGGCGCCAUUAUUUGUACGGAGAGACCUUUCAGAUCUAUACCGAUCAUAAGAGUUUGAAACACAUAUUCACUCAGAAGGAUCUCAACAUGCAUCAGAGAAUGUGGAUGGAACUCCUUAAGGACUAUGAUUGUGAUAUCUUAUACCAUCUAGGUAAGGGCAACGUGGUAGCAGAUGCUCUCAGCAGGAAAAGUGCAGGUGUCUUAGCUCAUUUGAUGGUUUCAAAGUACAGACCAAUUGGGGCCACACAACAGGUUCGACUUCAGGAUCUGAAGAGAGUCACAUGUUUGGACCGCCUGAAGUCCAGCCCGAGUUAAUCCAGAGAAUAAGGGAAGCCCAGACAGUUGACCCCGCUCUGGUAGCCCGCAAGAAGGAUGCAGAACAGGGAGGGAGCUCAGAAUUCUGAACCUCUGCAGAUGGAUUACUUCAUUUUCAAGACAGGGUGUGUGUCCCAGAUGACAGUGAGUUAAAAAGAGAUAUCAUGACAGAGUCCCAUAGCUCGAAGUUUGCCAUGCAUCCAGGAAGAACCAAAAUGUACCAAAGCAUGCGACCCCGGUUUUGGUGGCAUGAGAUGAAAAGAGACAUAGCCGACUUUGUAUCUAAAUGCUUGGUAUGUCAGCAGGUCAAGGCAGAGCAUCAGCGCCCAGAUGGGUUACUUCAGCCUUUACCAAUCCCGGAGUGGAAGUGGAAACAUAUCACCAUGGACUUCGUAUCGGGGCUACCUAAGGCACGUUCAGGACAUGAUGCCAUAUGGGUAAUCGUUGACCGACUUACCAAGUCUUCCCACUUCCUAGCCAUCAAGAUGACCGAUUCAUUGGACAAGUUGGCAAGGAUGUAUAUCCGGGAGAUAGUCAGAUUGCAUGGGGUUCUAGUGACAGUAGUAUCCGACAGGGAUCUCAGGUUCACUUCUCGAUUUUGGAGUAGCUUCCAGCAUGCUAUGGGAACAAAGCUGUCUCUUAGUACUGCCUUCCAUCCCCAGACUGAUGGACAAUCAGAGAGGACAAUUUGUACGCUUGAGGAUAUGCUCCGAGCUUGUGUCCUGGACUCUGGGGGCCAUUGGGACUACCAUCUACCCUUGAUAGAGUUUGCCUACAACAACAGCUACUAAGCUAGCAUCGACAUGGCUCCAUAUGAGGCGUUAUAUGGGCACCCGUGCAGAUCACCAAUUUGUUGGGAGGAAGUGGACGAUAGAAGAUUGUUCGGCCCGGAGUUGGUAGAGGAGACCACGUCCAAAAUAAUUAAAAUCAGGAAGAACAUUCAGACAACUCAGAGUAGGCAGAAGAGUUAUGCAGAUAUCCGGAGGAGAGACCUAGUGUUUGAGAAAGGCGACCUGGUGUUUCUUAAGGUUACUCCUUUCAAGGGAAUUAGUAGGUUCGGCAUGAGGGGAAAAUUAAAGCCCCGAUAUAUUGAACCCUUUGAAAUCUUAGACAGGAUUGGUACUGCUUCCUACAGACUAGCACUGCCUCCAGAGCUCUCCAGAGUCCACAACGCGUUCCACGUAUCCAUGCUACGUAAGUACAACCCGGACCCUUCUCAUGUCUUGGCUCAUGAACCGCUUCCACUCCAAGAGGACUUGUCUUAUGAAGAAGUACCAGUCGGUAUCACGGACCGAAAGAGCAGGAUACUUUGCAACCGGGAAAUAUCUUUUGUAAAGGUCGUGUGGCAGAACCACACGCCCAGGGAGGCUACCUGGGAGCUAGAAUCAGAAUUUAGAGCUCAAUAUCCCCAUUUGUUCGACCAAGAGUAAGAGGCAAAUUUGGGGGACCAAAUUUCUUUAAGGGGGGAGAGUUGUAACACCCAAGUAUUUUAAUUUUAUUCUUAUUAUUUUUAUUUUCUUUUUUUUUGUAUUUGAAUUUUUUAGAUUUUUAUUUAAUUAAAUUUGAUUUAAUUUAAUUUAAUUUAAUUUAAUGAAAAUAAAAAUAAUAAUAAUGAUAAAAUUGGGUAAAAAAUAUUAUUUGGAUUUAAUUGAAAUUGAUUUUAGGAAAAAUGGGUGAAAAUUUGGAUUCUGGGGGUGUUUUUGAAAAGAAAAUCAUAAAUCAGGGGUCAAAACUCAAUUUAAAAAAGUUGUGCCACGUUAGCACCCACGUCAGCGACCCGGUCAGUAGCCCUGACCAACCAGGACACGCCGCGUGGCAAGGAAACGUUGACCAGGGGAUGGACCACGUGGGCGAUCCGCGUGCGCGCGAUCAGACGGCCCACAUUCGUUCCCGCAUGCACGGAUGGCCCAGAUCAAACGUGCGCAUGGACGGCCCAGAUUCACGCGUACGGACGGCCCAGAUUCAAUCAGGCACUGACGGCCCAGAUUUAAUUCCAAUUAAAUCGCGAUCGAACGGUUCAGAUUUAAUCUUGAUGGACGGUUGAGAUUAAAAGGCAAAAGGUAUAAAUAACCCCACCCACACCUGACCACAAAACCUUAGCCGCCAGUGCCUCGCCGGAGAAGAAGAACCAGACGCU